AGUCCUUUUCUUGACUUGGUGAAGUCAGUGAGAGGAUUUAUGACUCGCAGGUCAAUCUCUUCUCUUAUUCUUAAAUCAUUAAAUCAAUUUUUUUAAAUUAUUAGAUCUUUAAAGUGAUACGGUUAUAGAGAUAACUAGUUCAUAGCCUCUCAUUAAAGUGCGUGAUAAUGCAUUCAAUAUUCUAAAUAGAUAUUGAAGGCACCACAUGCCUGGUAUCUAUUAAGUAUUGAAAUUAUCAUUCAUUAUAUGACCACUUUGUUGUGCCCUUUAUAUCAAUAG
This 279-nucleotide long non-coding RNA is filed under the name Elaeis guineensis (African oil palm). Its description in RNAcentral is "long non-coding RNA (EGUI_LNC033099)". The record is from RNAcentral. Lineage: Eukaryota; Viridiplantae; Streptophyta; Magnoliopsida; Arecales; Arecaceae.